RNAcentral lists this ribosomal RNA (490 nucleotides) under uncultured bacterium. RNAcentral's name for it is "partial 16S ribosomal RNA". It matches the Rfam family "Bacterial small subunit ribosomal RNA", at positions 30 to 507 of the family's 1533-position model. The record is from RNAcentral.
AUUGAACGCUGGCGGCAUGCCUUACACAUGCAAGUCGAACGGCAGCAUGAUCUAUCUUGCUAGAUUGAUGGCGAGUGGCGAACGGGUGAGUAAUACAUCGGAACGUGCCCUGUAGUGGGGGAUAACUAGUCGAAAGAUUAGCUAAUACCGCAUACGACCUGAGGGUGAAAGUGGGGGACCGCAAGGCCUCAUGCUAUAGGAGCGGCCGAUGUCUGAUUAGCUAGUUGGUGAGGUAAAGGCUCACCAAGGCGACGAUCAGUAGCUGGUCUGAGAGGACGAUCAGCCACACUGGGACUGAGACACGGCCCAGACUCCUACGGGAGGCAGCAGUGGGGAAUGUUGGACAAUGGGCGAAAGCCUGAUCCAGCAAUGCCGCGUGUGUGAAGAAGGCCUUCGGGUUGUAAAGCACUUUUGUCCGGAAAGAAAUGGCUCUGGUUAAUACCUGGGGUCGAUGACGGUACCGGAAGAAUAAGGACCGGCUAACUACGUG